This 1009-nucleotide ribosomal RNA is filed under the name 'Populus nigra' phytoplasma. Its description in RNAcentral is "bacterial SSU rRNA". It matches the Rfam family "Bacterial small subunit ribosomal RNA", at positions 215 to 1233 of the family's 1533-position model. Lineage: Bacteria; Bacillati; Mycoplasmatota; Mollicutes; Acholeplasmatales; Acholeplasmataceae. The record is from RNAcentral.
AUGCUUAGGGAGGAGCUUGCGUCACAUUAGUUAGUUGGUGGGGUAAAGGCCUACCAAGACUAUGAUGUGUAGCCGGGCUGAGAGGUUGAACGGCCACAUGUGGACUGAGACACGGCCCAAACUCCUACGGGAGGCAGCAGUAGGGAAUUUUCGGCAAUGGAGGAAACUCUGACCGAGCAACGCCGCGUGAACGAUGAAGUAUUUCGGUACGUAAAGUUCUUUUAUUAGGGAAGAACAAAUGAUGGAAAAAUCAUUCUGACGGUACCUAAUGAAUAAGCCCCGGCUAACUAUGUGCCAGCAGCCGCGGUAAUACAUAGGGGGCAAGCGUUAUCCGGAAUUAUUGGGCGUAAAGGGUGCGUAGGCGGUUAAAUAAGUUUAUGGUCUAAGUGCAGUGCUCAACAUUGUGAUGCUAUAAAAACUGUUUAGCUAGAGUAAGAUAGAGGCAAGUGGAAUUCCAUGUGUAGUGGUAGAAUGCGUAAAUAUAUGGAGGAACACCAGUAGCGAAGGCGGCUUGCUGGGUCUUUACUGACGCUGAGGCACGAAAGCGUGGGGAGCAAACAGGAUUAGAUACCCUGGUAGUCCACGCCGUAAACGAUGAGUACUAAACGUUGGGUAAAACCAGUGUUGAAGUUAACACAUUAAGUACUCCGCCUGAGUAGUACGUACGCAAGUAUGAAACUUAAAGGAAUUGACGGGACUCCGCACAAGCGGUGGAUCAUGUUGUUUAAUUCGAAGGUACCCGAAAAACCUCACCAGGUCUUGACAUGCUUCUGCAAAACUGUAGAAACACAGUGGAGGUUAUCAGUUGCACAGGUGGUGCAUGGUUGUCGUCAGCUCGUGUCGUGAGAUGUUGGGUUAAGUCCCGCAACGAGCGCAACCCUUAUUGUUAGUUACCAGCACGUAAUGGUGGGGACUUUAGCAAGACUGCCAGUGAUAAAUUGGAGGAAGGUGGGGACGACGUCAAAUCAUCAUGCCCCUUAUGACCUGGGCUACAAACGUGAUACAAUGG